UGGCUCAGACAGUAAAGAAUCUGCCUGCAAUGCAGAUGACCCAGGUUCGAUCCCUGG
RNAcentral lists this transfer RNA (57 nucleotides) under Ovis aries (sheep). It matches the Rfam family "tRNA", at positions 8 to 63 of the family's 71-position model. From Rfam's summary of the family: Transfer RNA (tRNA) molecules are approximately 80 nucleotides in length. Their secondary structure includes four short double-helical elements and three loops (D, anti-codon, and T loops). The record is from Rfam by way of RNAcentral. Lineage: Eukaryota; Metazoa; Chordata; Mammalia; Artiodactyla; Bovidae.